Molecule: long non-coding RNA, 13637 nt
Filed under: Citrus maxima (pomelo)
Lineage: Eukaryota; Viridiplantae; Streptophyta; Magnoliopsida; Sapindales; Rutaceae
Description: long non-coding RNA (CMAX_LNC002484)
Source: RNAcentral
CUAGCAGAGCAACAGAUAUGGGCAGCAACGACGGAUAAGGCCAAGAACCAAGCAUUUAACUGCACAAACGGCGACGUUUUUAUGUGGAAGAGCUUAUGGAAACUGUUGUCAGAAAUCUUUGACGUUGAGUUUGUGCCGUUUGAUGAUGAGAAAAAUGAAAAAUUUGAUGUGGUUGAGAUGAUGAAGGAGAAAGGAGAAAUAUGGGAUGAGAUUGUUGAGAAACAUGGGCUGUAUAAGACCAAAUUGGAGGAGAUAACUUGUUUUGAGGCAAUGAAACUUGUCUUGCAUUUUGAGUUUCAGCAUGUCAGUAGCAUGAACAAGAGCAGAGAAUUUGGGUUCUUUGGGUUUGUUGAUACCAUGAAGAGUAUUAGAAUGUGGGUGGGGAAGUUACGAGAGAUGAAGAUCAUACCAUGAGAUUCAAGAUUCAAGAUUCAAGAUCAUAGUUGUAGCAAGUAAAUGUAGCUGGGCUUGAUGUUUUGGUUCGGUCUCGUUUUAGCCAGUCCACAUUACCAAUUUGAAAAUGUUAUAAACUCAACUAUUUUCUUUUUUUAAGACAGCAGAUUUUUACUUGUCAUUGUACCACGUGCAUAAAAAAGUACGAUGAACUAGUUUUAAAUAUUCUUAAGAAUUUUGUUUCAAAGAGUAUUCUCAUCACCACAAUUUAUUUAUAUCUUUUUAAAAAAUUUGUGAACUUGAAGUUUCUAAGUAAUUAUUUUUGCUAGUACCAUUUAUUCGUCUAUAUUUAAUUAUUAGAAAAUGAAAAGAUCUUAAAUAAAUAUUAUUAUUUGAAAAAUUCGAAUAGUCUUGGCCUUUAGUAGUUUUUUUCUCUUAAUUUGACCAUUUGUUUAGGAACUAAAACGCAAGACGGCAAAAGGAAUAAUGCGCGUGGUAGUUACCCACCCCACCUUUUUUUGGGGAGGGGGGGAAUCUUUGUCAUUUUUUUUAUGCACGUAGGUAGAGCUGGCAAAAUUUGACACGACCCGAUUACCCGACACGAACACGACAUAAAUAAAUGGGUAUGGGUCGUCAAAUUUAACACGAUUAUUAAAUGGGUCGGGUCCGGGUCAACACGAUUUUUUUCCGUGUCGGGUUUGGGUUAAAAUUCUUGACCCAUUUACCCGAUCAAUGACCCGAUUAUAUUUUCUAUUUUAAAAUAAUUUACAUAUUCUUAUAAUUAAAACUCAAAUAUUAGAGAUGAUUUUCUUUUUUUUUUAUUCUUUAAAAUGGUGAAUAUAAACACAAUGUUUUAUUUAUAAAAUUUUACAUACAUUUAGAGCUUCAAUAGUGUAAAUGUGUAAAAAUUGAUAGACAUGUAUAUUUUAUAAUAUUGAUAUAUAAUAUUAUAUAUAUAUAUAUAUAUAUAUAAUUAAAACUCAAUAGUGUACAUGUGUAAUAUAUUGGUAGAUAUGUAUAUUUUAUAAUAUCGAUAAAUUAUGUAUGUAUGUAUGUAUGUAUUUAUUUAUGUACAUACGUAUGUAUGAUAGUGUGUAAAUAUUUGAUGUAACUUUUGUUCAAUAUAUAGAUAUUAAACGGGUUAUUGGGUAACCCGGUUAUUUUUCCGUGUCGGGUUUGGGUCUCAAUAUUUUGACACGAUUAUUAAAUGGGUCGGGUUUGGGUCGACCUAAAUUUGACACGACACGAAGCUGACACGACACGAACACGACCCGAUGACCCAUUUUGCCAGCUCUACACGUAGGUAUAUUAAUAUUGGAAAUCGUUGCAUAAAUUUUUUAUUUUGAAAAAAUUUCAUAGGUUAGUUAUUAAAAAAAAAACUACAAGUGUUUAAUGGAAUAAUACGUAUGUAUUGCUGUGUUACUCUCUCUAAACAGCAAUUAGCUCUUGAAUUGAUAGAAUGAAAUAUACAACUUGAUGUUUACGUGAGAAGUGAUGGGUUUUUUUUUUUGAAUACUGAUUAAUCAUCAGAUUACUGCAUUACACAGAUAUUUACAACAACUGCUAUUGGAGCAGAGAUAUUAUAUUGAUAUUUACAAUCAGAUAUACAUAAUUGGGACUUAUAUUAUGACAUUGAAUUCUAUGAAGUACAUGCCCAAACAAAUAACCCCUCACAGGAGAGGGAUGUCCAUACUCCACUCGCAUUUCGCAAGGGAGAAUGAUUUUUUUGGAAGUAUAAAGAACAUUUAGCCCCCACAAUGCUUUUGUGGGGGCUAGAACCGCUGCCCUCACAAUGCUUGUGAGGGCAGUAGCCCACCACUUCGGCCAAGGCCGAAGUGGCGAGAAGUGAUGGGUUAUUGUCUCAUCAUUUUAACCCAAAAAUUUAUUUCAUUGAACUAGUUGGCAUCCACGAGGCAUGUUGAGUUCAGAGUAACUAGUUCUAAUUAAAUUCAAAUAAGAUAAGAGAUAUUAGAUAAUAACAAGUUAAAAUAUAAAUAAGAUGAUUAAUAAAUCAAAUUAAUAGAAUGAAUCACAUUUAGGUAGGUUGUGUAUUAUUAACGGCGAUAUCCUCACAAGUGCAGAAGAAUAAAAAGAUUGAGAUUAGAUUAUUUUUAAAAAUUUGAAUCCAAGAUCAAGUUUGGAGUAGACGAAAAGGCCCGCAUAAAACAUUACCAAUUCCAUUGACUAACUAUAAAAAAAGAAUAUGUUAAAGAAUAAUGAUAUUUGAUCCUGCUAAUUAAUUUUGUCAACCAUCGCUUUUCAAAUUAAUUUUAUUCAUAUUGCUAUUAAAAAAAAAUUAAAAAUUUAAUUUUUUUUCUUAUCUUUCAAGCUCUCAAUAUAUUAACUUCUCAUCUCUUCAUCUCUCACAUUUCUCUUUCUCUCUUAAUUGAUUCAUAGUUUGAAAUUAGACAAAAUUUUACCACAUAAAAUCAAAACUAAUAUUAUUAUCAAUAAUAAAAACCAUCAUUUGUUCAUAAAAUUUAACAAAACCCAAUAUUAAAACUCAUCAUAUGGUGGUAGAGGUGAUGGAUUGAUGGUGAAGAAAAUAUGUGUUGGUCAUUUGAUGAUGAUGAUGAACUCAUUGUAGAUGAAGUGGUGGGGGUAAUGGUUAUGCUAGAGAGAGGAGGAAGACGGAGAAUAAAAUGAAAUAAAUAAUAAUAAUUUUUUAUUUUAAUAAUGGGAAUUUUGAAAAGUAGUAAAAUAAACUGAAAAUAGGAGUUAAUGUGAUAACUUGAGGUGGUCAAAUAACAUAACCUUAAAAUUUGAGAAUUAAUUUAUGUUACUUGGGCAGAAUAUUUACAUGUUCGGAAAUAAAAAAGAAAAAAAUCAGAACAUAAAAAGAAUUUUAAUAGAAAUGUUUCAUUAAUGCUUUUAAAAUCAUCAUUGUGUCUUGAUUAUAUAUAUUGCUUCCUUUGGCUGUGUAUGCUACGACUUGCAGGUACCAAGGCUUGCGCUUUCAAUAAUUUGAGGCCUCAAUCAUCUCUAACUUAUUUUAUUUUAUUUUUCUAUUCAAACAUAAUUAUGAAAAUGUAAGAUAAAGUGAAAAAUAGUCAAUUUAUAUAUGCGUUUAAUGGCAAAUUUAUUUAAUCUCUUUGAGAUUUGUUCAUAUUACGAGCAAGCUCGAUCUCUUAGUUUGGAUCGUUUAAUGGAGAUUUGAUAAAUUUUAUAAAUGUUGAAGGAGGUAUAUAUGGGUAAUUAUUUUAUGGAUGUUGUUAUAUGAUUGUUUUCAAAAUCAAACACGACAUGGUAAAGCUAAUUCAUUUUGUAAUCUGUAAUUUUAUAUCCAAUGAAAUUAAGCAUGCAUGCAUCCUUUUUUAGUGCAGACAAUAAUCGUCAUUUUCUAGAAAUUCCGAUGUUGUACAAAGAAUUAAUAAAUGAUAAAAAUAAAAAAUUUAAUUUGAGACAUUAUUUGUACAAUAGCAUAUAUGAUUUUGCAACUUUUUACACAAAUAUAUAGUUGGAUAUCAGCACUUUAUACGAGUUUUGAUUAUGUGCGUAAAACUAUUAAUUACAACACAAAUAAAUAAAUACAUGACAAUUAGAUGGAAAGCUCCGAAAAAUCCGGACGUGGAAAAAACCCUAGCGCUGAAGGAAUUUUCCCUCCGCCGUUCAGGGAAACUAGAACAACUAAGAAGGCAAGGUUUCGUGAUGAGGAGGUUGCUGAUGAUACCCCUGUACAUGUUUCGUAUAAGGAAACCCUCGUAAACUCGUCGCGUGCAAUGGAGACGGGCUAUGAUGGCGGCGCAGUGGACUGGGAGUUUGAGGAAGGGGACGUGACUGAAAUUAAAGAUGGAACUAUGCCUUCCAUAACCUUCUCGGAUAGGGUUCAUGAGAAGCUAUGUGAACCAUGGAAGAACUCAGUGACAGUGAAGUUGCUGGGUCGCACGAUCGGUUAUAGAACACUAUGUACGAGAUUGAACGCCAUGUGGAAAACAACAAUGACUUACUCGGUGAUAGACCUAGAAAACAAUUAUUUCCUGGUUCGCUUUCGUUCGGCUACUGAUGCUGUCGAUGCCCUAACAAAAGGUCCGUGGAUUAUUAUGGGGCAUUAUCUCACGGUGCAGCCAUGGACGCUGUCUUUUGAUGCCAAUACAACGGACAUGGAGCAAGUUAAUGUAUGGAUCCGUUUACCUGGACUCGAUGUUCAUUUAUACAACCGGAAAGUUCUUCAGAAGCUCGGAGAAUUGGUGGGUACAGUGAUUAGAAUUGAUUCGAACACAGUAUCCUCAGCGCGUGGAAGAUUUGCACGAAUUGCAGUUCAUAUCUCCCUGGCUAAGCCCUUAGUUUCUCAGUUUGUGUUGGAUGGGAAGGUUCAAAAGGUAGAGUAUGAGGGAUUACCAGUGAUUUGCUUCACAUGUGAAAGAUACGGCCAUAGUAGUAGCAGUUGCAAGAGCUCGAAUUCAGCAAACAAUUCUGGAGAAUGGGUACAACCACAACCCAAUACGCAGCCCCAGGGGAACACUGUCCAGCUAGAUGAUCAUGGUAAUAUUGAUAGUAAUGCCGAGUCUUUUGGACCUUAGAUGAUAGCCACGAGAAAAGGCAGAAAAUUUAAUAGUGGCAAGGACAUUAACAAUGGCUUGAAUAGGAACCGAGAGAAUACAAGGGCUGGUGUUUCCAGAUUCCAAAAUCUUGAGCAGGUCACGGACGACCGUGAGCACCCCCAUCAUGCAGCUGUGAUAGACAAUCCAUCCACUUCUCAUCAACCAAACACGGCCAACCCUUACCAGAUAUUUACUGCCAAUCACGAGGAUAGAACAAAAACUCUGGCUAGAUGUAAGCAGCACACCACAACUGUUACUGCCAAACCCCAGAAGAAGACGCCAGCUUCCUCUUUGAACCCAACCCGAAACCCUUUUCAGCAGAGCACUUUCACUUUAAGAGAAGAAAAUACAAACUUUUUACCUCAUGCAAACCCUAGGACCGAAUCAUGUCUUAACCCUCAGUUCAACCCUAGCCACCAACAAAUUUCCCCUCUAGUUACAACCUUGGAUCCAAAAAUGCAUACGGUGAUAUUCUGUGCCAACCAAAACUUUUCUCUUGGAGAUGUAAGGGAGGCGGGCAGUGAUCAGGGAGAUCGGCUGGGAAGGGAAUAUGAGCACUCGUCUGACUCUCCAGACGGUCAGCAUGCUGGUUGUGUAAACGACGUAAAUGCUCAAGCGCACUCGGCUAUGUCUAUGGGUGAGAAUGAAGGGGAGGAGAUGUCCGAUGUGGAAGAUUCGAUGAUUGAGGAAACGCCUUUGGCGUUGAUGCAUGACAGGAAUGGACAACAUUAAUAAGGUGUCUGUGUGUCCUUAUUUUGUUUUUAUUUAUCUCAUGACGAUUAGCAUUAUGUAUUGGAAUGUCCAAGGGGCAGCCUCGACUGAUUUUCGGUGCUCCUUCAGGACAAUUGUUAAAAACUACAACCCAUCCUUGGUGGUUUUGAUGGAACCUCGCAUUAGUGGGGUCAAAGCAGAUGAUUUCAUAAAGAAGAGUGGUUUUGACCAGUCCCAUCGAGUGGAAGCAGUGGGCUUUGCGGGUGGAAUUUGGCUUCUUUGGCAGAGUUACAUAGAGGUGGAGGUGAUGCUGAACCAUAGGCAGUUUAUCCACUUUAAAAUAUGUAGGAAUAAUACUUUUAUGUCUUGGGCAACGACGGUAUAUGCCAGCCCAAACCCAAUGUUGCGGAGACAACUGUGGAAGCAUAUGGAUAGCAUUGCUAUGUCAAUUCAAGGGCCUUGGCUAAUUGGUGGGGACUUUAAUUCUAUAUUGUAUGCUUCUGAGAAGCAGGGGGUGCUACACGGAAUUCAGGAGUUUGCGGUAAUUUCUGGCAGUGGUUUGAUGGGCACCAAAUUUUUGAUUUAAAGUUUAAAGGCCCUCGGUUUACUUGGUCUCGUGGACUUCUGUUUAAACGACUUGACAGAGCUCUCUGUAAUAGUGGUUGGUUAAUAAAAUUUGCUGAUAAUUAUGUGCUUUACCUUUCGAAGGUUGCUUCAGAUCACAUGCCAGUACUGGUUCGUUUUGCGGGAGCUGAGCACAGACACUGAGGGACUAGGCCUUUCCGUUUUUUGGCACCCUGGCUGACUCAUGAGCAGUUCAAUUCUUUUGUUAAGAAAGUAUGGGAUCCUAAAGCCCAUUAUAGAGAUGCGGCGUCCCAUUUUGUCCAGGUGGUCCAAAAGUGGAAUAGGAAGGUGUUCGGGAAUAUUUUUCAGCGAAAAAGACGGUUAAUGUCUCGUAUAAAUGGGAUUCAAGCAGCCUUAGAAAGGUAUAGCUCCCGAGGGCUUGUGCAGUUAGAGGCUAGGCUAUGGAAUGAGUUAGAGACGGUGAUGGGUCAAAAGGAAAUCCUGUGGUGGCAGAAGUCAAGGAAAGAUGAGCUUCUGCACGGGGAUAGGAACACGAAUUUUUUUCAUCAAAAAACCAUUGCAAGACGACGGAGAAAUAGAAUUGAAGCUAUUCAAGAUACUUCGGGGAACUGGCUUUAUAGUGAGGAAGAGAUUCGUAAUUAUGCUAUUGGUUAUUUUUCGUCCUUAUACAAAAGUGAAGUUGCAACCUCUCAAAGUUAUCAGGUACCGAAUUUAUUCCCAGUCUUAAAUGCUUAUGAUUUGGAGAGUACUGCCGUUUCAGUUUUGGACGACGAAAUUAAAAGGGUGAUUUUUAGUAUGAAACCCCUCAAAGCUCCAGGUAUUGAUGGACUGCAUGCCAUCUUUUACCAGUCUCAAUGGCCAGUUGUGGGGCCCUCCUUCUGCAAGUUUAUGGGUGACAUUUUUAGUUCGGACAAGAUCCCCCAAGAAAUCAAUACUACCCUGUUGGUUUUGAUUCCCAAAAGCCUAAGUAUGUUUAGGCCUAUUAGUUUGUGCACGGUCGCUUAUAAAACAAUGACUAAAAGAAUUGCUAACCGUUUGCAAGCCUUGUUGCUUGAUCUCAUAGGCCCUCACCAGACUAGCUUUGUGCCCGGACGCCAUAUUAUUGAUAAUAUUGUUGUUGCUCAGGAAGUGGUUCACUCCAUGCGAAAGAAAACGGGGAAAAAAUGGUUUAUGGCUAUCAAAGUGGAUCUAGAAAAAGUGUACGAUCGACUUAAUUGGUCAUUUAUUUUCAAUACUCUCCAACAAACUGGUAUCCCGAUUCAGUUAUCUCGACUAGUCAUGGAAUGUGUAACUUCAGCUCGGAUGAGUAUUUUAUGGAAUGGUGAGGCUACAGCAGAAUUUAUCCCGGGGAGAGGAAUCUGUCAGGGGGAUCCCCUGUCUCCUUAUAUUUUUGUCUUGUGCAUUGAACGGUUGAGUCAUGGAAUAACACAAGCCGUGAGGGAUGGCAGCUGGAAGCCUAUUCGUUUGGCCAAGCAUGGAACUCCUCUAACACAUUUAUUUUUUGCAGAUGAUUUGCUCCUUUUUGCAGAGGCGUCAAUUGAUCAGGCGUAUACUAUAGAUGCAAUUUUAGACAACUUCUGGCGGAGCUCUGAAGCGAAGGUCCACAAGUCGAAAACUAAAAUUUACUUCUCUAAGAAUGUAGUUUCAAGAGAAGCUCAGCUCCUCAAUAAUGUUUUGGGGUAUUCAGCUACAAAUGACUUGGGGUGCUAUCUUGGAAUGCCUCUCAUCCAUUCGAGAGUAAAUAGAGCUACUUACCAAUCGAUUCUUGAAAAGGUGGAUAAGCGGCUUACGAGUUGGAAUGCAGCUCAUUUAUCCUUUGCUAGCCGAAUUACUUUGGCUCAUUCGGUGCCCCAAGCAAUGCCAAUUUACGCAAUGCAGACAAUUAUAUUACCGGCUCCGGUGCGUGGGAAGCUUGAGAAGUCUUGUCGUCGGUUUAUUUGGGAUGGGAAGUCGAAGAGCCAUAAGAUGAGUAUAGUGGGCUGGAAUAAAAUUUGCAUGCCGAAACCCAAAGGUGGCCUGGGGUUUAAGAAGUUGGAUGUGAUGAAUCAGGCGUUAUUGAUGAAGCUGAGCUGGGGAGUAGUUUCGAAUUCAGACAAGCUGUGGGUUAAGGUCAUCUGCUCAAAGUACGGGUCGGAUCCUAGACACUUGCCGUUGUCCCUCCCUGAGAAACAAGGUUCUGGAAUAUGGAAAGCCAUAAAGAGCACGUGGUCAGCCAUCAUGCAAGGAGCUCCCUGGGCUAUUUGUGAUGGAUCUAGAACUCGCUUUUGGCUGGACUGCUGGGCAACAAAACAAGGACCUUUGAUCAAUCUCGAUGUUCAUCCAGUGCCUCAAGAAUUGGUUAACGCUACGGUGAGUGCAUUUCUAAACGUGCAUGGGGGCUGGAACUAGUCAGCUUUUGAACAUUUGCUUCCCAAUUAUAUCCUGAUGCAAAUUGCUUCGAUAAUGCCUCCUAAUCCUCUUCUUGGUGUUGAUAAAAUAUAUUGGCGUUAUGAGCCAAGUGGCAACUUUACGGUUCGCUCAGCAUAUGAGUCUCUAUGUCAGCUGGAAUCCACUGCUACUGAUAAUGCAUGGAAUCAAGCAUGGUCCUGGAAGGGGCCGCAAGUAGCACGCAUCUUCCUUUGGCAGGUUCUACAUGCGAAAUUAAAAACCAAGAGUGAACUAUCUAGGCGGCAUAUUCCGGUUUCUCUGGGUUGUGAUCGUUGUGGGGCUCCUCUUGAGGAUAUUAUUCACGUCUUGAGAGAUUGUUAUUGCAUCAAGCGGGUUUGGCUUCGGAUUGUUCCAGCUCGGCAUCAUUCCUCAUUCUUUCAGUCGUCUUUACAAGAUUGGAUAAUUGCGAAUUUACAAAACAAGUGGAAUAUUCCCUCUCCAUUAUCUUGGGAGUGUAUAUUCGGCGUAGCGGUGUGGAGAUUAUGGUAUUGGAGGAAUCAUUUUAUUGUGGAGGGGAAGUUAGCAGAUAGCUCAACAGUCUAUGUAGAUAUUAUGGCCAAAGCUAACGAAAUCCAUAGACUAAAUAAUUCUUACAUAAGUCAACAGCCACGGAGGAAGGAAAUUUAUAUUGGAUGGCUGCCACCUCCAUGGCCCUGGUGCAAAUUGAAUACGGAUGGAUUUUGUAGAAAAGAUAAGAGGGCAGGUGCUAGUGGUAUUAUUCGAGACUCGGUCGGACACUGGAUAACUGGAUUUUGCAUGAAUAUUGGAGAGAGUUCGGUGCUAAUGGCUGAACUUUGGGGUCUAUACCAAGGAUUACGUCUAACUUGGGAGGCUGGAAUAAAACGUCUUUUGGUUGAAGUGGAUAACCUUUGUGUUACUCAAUUGGUCUCGAAGCAAGUGGUUGUGCCUAACGAAUUCUAUGCUUUAGUUGUUGCUAUCCGGGAGCUUAUUAGUAGAAACUGGCAAGUUUCCAUCACCCAUAUUUAUCGGGAAGCAAAUUCGGCGGCGGAUUUUAUGGCAAACAUGGCUCAUUCAUACCCCCAUGGAUUGCACUUAUUUUCUAGCCCGCCUGUGGGUAUUUAUUCAAUUAUUGUUCAAGACUUGUUUGGGGUUACUCAACCUCGUUUUAUUCCUAUUUAGCUCGCUUGCUUGAGCCCCAUUUAAUAAAAAUAAAUAAAUAAAUACAUGACAAAAAUAAUUCUUAGGUAGGACAUUCACACGAAACUGAGGUCAAAUUCUACUAUUUGACUAUGAUUUAGGACUGUAUUAUUAGUACACCUCAACAAUCUUGCUUGGCAAAAGAGUGGCGUUGAGACUAUGGCAAUUCAUCGAGCAGUUGAUUCAUUUAAUCAAACACUUGCCUCAUACUAUAGAGCACAAGGAUUUUUUUUUUUAUUCAAAUCUCAAUAUUCAUAAUUUUUUCCUCGGAAUCCUCAUUAAUUCUAAUAUGGCAAUUAAUAAAUAUCGUCCCUUGAAGGUAACAAAUACACAUGGGAGCAUUUUUGCGACAUGUUAGAUAGCCGAUUGCUAGCUAGUAGAGCAACAAAUAUGGGCAAAGACGACUAAAGAUGGCCAGUGAGCUGGGCAGCACGUGGCACUGCACAACACGCACGUGGGUUGUGCCGAGCCUAAAAUUUUAGGCACGCAGACCUUAAAAGCACGGCACAAUUAAAGAUGGGCCAAAGCACGACAUGUGAAAAAGCACGUAAUAAGCACGUUUCAUUAGUGGGUUAGCACGCAGCCCGCGAGCCAUCAAUAGUACGUGGGCCAAAGUAUAUCAAAGUAAAAUUUUUUAAUGAAAAAUAAAUAUAAAAUAUUAUAAUUUUACAAAUAUCUUAAAAUUAAACUUUUUAAAUAUAUUUUUUUAGCAUAAGCUUUUUAAAAUUAAUUUAAGUCCUAGUUUAAAUAAAUAUUCUAAUUUUUUUAUGUUCAUAAUUUAUUAAAUGAAUAAAUAAAUAUCAUAAUUUUAUAAAAUGAUAAAUAAAAAAAUUUACGACAUUAAUACUUCAUUUAUAAAAUCAUAAUUUAAUUAAUAGUUAAUGGAGAUAUGUUUCAUUUGUAAAUGAAAUAUUUUUCAAAUUUAUGCAAAAAAUAAAUAAAAUUAUGAAUGAAAUAUUUUUAUGAUAAAUUAAAAAUUACAUUUUCACUCAAUAGAGUUCAAAUGCAAUUAUAAUAUUAAUAGUUCAAAUAAAAUUAAGUGUAAUUAUUAUUAUAGGAUUGUAAUUUUAUUUUUCAUUAAUCAUUACUAUAAUAUAUGAAAUUAUUAUUAUUAUUAUUAUUAUUAUUAUUAUUAUUAUUAUUAUUAAUAAAAAAGCAUGUCAGGCACGCAAGAUAUGUGGACUUAAUAAGAAAAAAAAAUUAAUGGACUUUUUUGGACAUGACUGGACCCUAUAAAAAAAAGUGAACACGGCACGACACAAUCCACCAAUUUAGUGAGCCGUACCGUGCCUGACUCACAGACCCUCACAGACCCUUGUGUGCUGAUGUUUGCCGGCACGGCCCAUUGGCAUCCUUAGCGAUGACUUAGAAAGCCAAUGAACCAAGCUUUUAACUACAUAAACGGCGGCGUUUUUACCACAGUGAUUCGGGCUACCCAAUAGAAUUUCAUAAUAUCGUGUCCAUACUACCUUAAUCAUCGUGUUAAUAUAUUAUUAAUGUAGAGUUGUACCUACUCCAUUAAAGAGAUGACAAACAAGGUACUGCUGUUUUGAAAUAAAUGAAAUAGAUUAACAAAAUAUUAAAUAUUAAUGGUUCGCUAUACUUUUUAGGCAAAAACAAAAGGUAGCCGACAAGAAGAUAACCACAAAAAUUAACAAAGAGUGAGGUGACGACCAUGCAUAUAUGAUUCCCUUUUGCCGUUUUGGCAUUUAUUUCCUUAUCCCCAAUACCAAAGGCCAAAAAUAAAAAUAUAAGAAACUACUGUAAAAGUGAAGAGUAUUCGAACAUUUCGAAUAAUAGUAUCUAUUUGAUAUCUUUUAAUUUUUUUAAUUAAAUAUAGAGAAAUAUAUGGUAUUAUCCAAAAUUAAUUUGAAAUUUUAAGUUUUGGCUUUCAAGAAAAUAUAGAUAUAGAUAAAUUGUGAUGAUGAGAAUACUCAUUGAAACAAAAUUUUUAAAAAUAUUUAAAGAGGUGGGACUAUAUGCAUUUUAAAAAUUAAAAAUUGCUAUGCUAAAUAUUAAAUUUAUAUCAUUUUCAAGUUGGUAAUAUAAAAAUCUCUUAAUUAUCACAGCCAAUAAUAAAUACCCUCAUUAAGUCAAAGCUCCUGACAUCUUUCCCCUAGGCCGAGGUUUAUUUGUCUGAUGAGAAAUAGAAAUUAACGGCAUAAAUAUAAUUUGUGUCAUGGAUAAGCAAGAUCAAAACCCUAAACAUCCCUCUUCAUCAGUUGCCUUAAUCAUUGGGGUGACAGGCAUGGCAGGCUUGAGCUUAGCAGAAGCUCUAAAGAAUAAUCCAACAAUACCAGGCGGCCCCUGGAAAGUCUACGGCACUGCCCGCCGACCUCCGCCCAGCUGGUUCCCGUCUUCUCACGUCGAUCAUUACAUAACCUUCGAUGCCCUAGACUCCACUGACACAACCCAAAAGCUCUCCUCGAUUUCGCAAGAAGUCACUCAUCUUUUUUGGGUCAUGUUCCAGCGUUUGAAAAGCGAAGAAAUCAACAUAUCCAAUAACUCAACAAUGUUUAAGAAUGUGAUGUCCGUCGUCGUAGACUCGAAUAAGGGACGCUCUCGUCUCCGCCACGUUACUUUGCUAAUGGGGACGAAGCACUACAUGGGUCCGGUAUUUGAUCCGUCACUUGUAGGUCAACUUAUCGGUCACGAUCCUCCGUUUAAGGAGGACUCGCUUAGAUUGCCUUUCCCAAACUUUUACUACGCGGUUGAAGGCAUUGCAGCGUCAUAUUCGCCGGCUGUAACGUACUCCGUGCAUCGUUCGUCGAUCAUAAUCGGUGCAUCUUCAAGAAGCCUGAACAAUUCAUUGCUCACUUUGGCUGUGUACGCCACCAUUUGCAGGCACCAAGGGUUGCCGUUUCGAUACUUGGGUAAAGGCCUUAAUUAAUUACUCUUCCACUUUCUUUCUUUUUUUGGUGAAAAAUGAUUAUAGUGUCGCUGUGAGUGUGUAUUUGUACGAGUGGUUAGACUCUAAUAUCUAACUAUAAUUUAAUACUAUAUUAUAAUUAAACUUUACAAUCAAGCUUCAAAUUCAUAAUUUAAAAUAUGCCUUUGAAGAGUAAUAAUUGUACGUGACAAGAUUACAUUAGAUAAUCGAUGCCUGUGAGACUUAAAAGACCAAGGAGUUAAGAAAUGCAGAUAAUGACUAGGAACUGAAGAACACAAUACUGCAAGCUAUGAGAAUUCAAAUUUUCCAGCAUACUUUGUAUUUCAUCCAUCAUUCGAUAAUGGCUCUUGAGCUUAUCCUUGAGCUAUUAGGAGAACAAUUCUCGAGCUUGCUGAGUCAUCUUCACUAGUCAGCUGAAUCAUGUGCCAUGAAAGGGAGUGAUGCUGAGACUAUGACCAUGACAGUUCGCUGAGGCAAUUCAUCGAACAGCUGAAUCAUUUAAUCAAACAGCUGCCCCAAACUAUACGACACAGGAAAUAUUUUUGUUUUCUUAUCAAAUCUCAAGCUUCACAUUCUUUUUUUGCUUUUUUUCCCUAAUUUUUGUUCCAAUAGCAAUUCAUGGAUCUUCACUUUCAGGUAACAAAUACACAUGGGAGCAUUUUUGCGACAUGUCAGACAGCCGAGUGCUGGCAGAGCAACAAAUAUGGGCAGCAACGACGGAUAGGGCCAAGAACCAAGCAUUUAACUGCACAAACGGCGAUGUUUUUACAUGGAAGAGCUUGUGGAAACUGUUGUCAGAAAUCUUUGACGUUGAAUUUGUGCCGUUUGAUGAGAAAGAAAAAUUUGACGCGGUUGAGAUGAUGAAGGAGAAAGGAGAAAUAUGGGAUGAGAUUGUUGAGAAACAUGGGCUGUACAAGACCAAAAUGGAGGAG